GUGUCAGCAGCCGCGGUAAUACGAAUCGUCCUAACGUUGUUCGGAUUCACUGGGUUUAAAGGGCGCGUAGGCGGUGCGUUAAGUCGGUGGUGAAAUACUUCAGCUCAACUGGAGAAUUGCCGCUGAAACUGGCGCGCUCGAGGGAGGUAGAGGUGUGUGGAACUUCCGGUGGAGCGGUGAAAUGCGUUGAUAUCGGAAGGAACACCCGUGGCGAAAGCGACGCACUGGACCUCUUCUGACGCUGAGGCGCGAAAGCCAGGGUAGCGAACGGGAUUAGAAACCCCCGUAGUCC
RNAcentral lists this ribosomal RNA (292 nucleotides) under uncultured bacterium. Its description in RNAcentral is "partial 16S ribosomal RNA". It matches the Rfam family "Bacterial small subunit ribosomal RNA", at positions 505 to 796 of the family's 1533-position model. The record is from RNAcentral.